RNAcentral lists this long non-coding RNA (1551 nucleotides) under Homo sapiens (human). Its description in RNAcentral is "HSALNT0024014". Lineage: Eukaryota; Metazoa; Chordata; Mammalia; Primates; Hominidae. The record is from RNAcentral.
AAGGGGUGGCUGUUGGUGAAGGGUUGGAAUGGAGUUUGAAGGGAGUUGGCAUGAUCCCUCAUGAUAUGAAACAGGCCAGGGAUAAAGAGAGAAGGGGAUCAGGUGCCGAUCAGGGACUUAGGACUUGGUACAUGAACAUAGAGGGCCUGGGUACCAGCUUUCCUCAUGUAGAAAUGUUCUGGCCUGAAACUCUGAGAAGUCUGAUAAUUCUAAAUUUGGGUCUGGAUUUCUAAGGCAGGAGAAUAUAACAUAUUUUAUUUCUCAGUUUGUUAAUGUGACUUAUAACACAUUUUAUGCGGGCCUUAAUUUCAUUCUUGGCCCUAGUAUUCUUUAAGGUGAACCCAUGAAACUGUGUCCGUAUGGUAAGGAAAAUUACAUGCCAGACUUUAGGCAAAAGUACAGUUAAGCAUUAAUCAGGUAGCCUUCUGGCCUAUGUCCCUAUAGCUAUUCUAGCAUUAGAUACUGACCAUUUGCUUCCCCAUCAUUUCUAUAGAUAGAAUCUCUAACGUUAAAAUCAUAAGACUGUUUUGCUUAAAAAUUAAUUAAGAUGUUUUUCAGAUCCUGAGUACCAGCAAAAUGGCUGAUGCCAGCUAGUCUGAAGACCCCAAAACUAAGUCAACACAAAAAUACAGUUUCUUCAUCUCCCUGUCCCCUGAUUUCACCUUUUACUCUUUCAUUAAUCCAUGACCCCAGGUCCACAACCCAUCCUAAACCCCUUAAGAUCCCUAUCCCCAAACUCCUUGGGAAGACAGAUGUGAGAUUUCCUCUUACCUCCUUGUUUGAAUCCCUGAUGAUUAAACUUCUUUCUCUGCUACAAUUCUUUGUGUCUCCAUGUAUUGACUUGCCACAUAUUGGGCAAUGGAGCCUGGCACGAUUACACCUGGAGCGGAUGGCCUUACGUGGAGCAUGGGCCCUACCUGGGGCAGUGAACAUCUCUGAAGACAUUUCCUUCGGGUGGUGAGUCAGCACAAUGAACGUGGCCCUCAUAACCAUCGCCUGUAGUCAGAAGGAGGGAAGAGGAAGAGGAUGUUUAGACUGUGAGGUGAGGUGCUCUGAGAGUUGUGGGGUACGAUUCUAGAGAGCACAGGGGUGCACCAACACAGGAGGAGGAGGCGAAACUGGGAGCGCCAAAGGCAAACAUGGAUGACCUCGUCGUUCUGGAUCCUGCCCCACUGUUCUGGCAUAUCGGGGAAUGCCAACUUGAGUUCAACUUCAGAAGACACAAUAGGCUUCCUGGAGGGAAUAUAGAGGACCUCAGGAUACACACUUGGUCACUGGAUUGAGAUUCUUGAAUGUUAGAAGAAAGAUCCAGCAAUUUCGCUGAAGAUCUCAAAAGGUGAUGAUGAUUCAUUAACAAGAUGGCUUGAAUUGUUUCAUCCAUCAGCCCUUCUCACUUCUUAGUUUUGGUUCAAUCUGCUUCUUCUGUCUAGAACGACUCUUUCAGCUUUAUCCAUCCUUCAAAUUUCAAUGCAAGCACCAAUCUCUUCAAGAACCAUUCCAGACACCUUCUCCCUGCACUGUUGCUAAGCAUAGAGACAUUUACAAUCACCA